CGAAAGCCUGACGGAGCAACGCCGCGUGAGGGAUGGAGGCCUUUGGGCUGUAAACCUCUUUUCUCAAGGAAGAAGAUCUGACGGUACUUGAGGAAUAAGCCACGGCUAAUUCCGUGCCAGCAGCCGCGGUAAUACGGGAGUGGCAAGCGUUAUCCGGAAUUAUUGGGCGUAAAGCGUCCGCAGGCGGCCGUUUAAGUCUGUUGUUAAAUCGUGGAGCUCAACUCCAUCACGGCAAUGGAAACUGUUCGGCUUGAGUAUGGUAGGGGCAGAGGGAAUUUCCGGUGUAGCGGUGAAAUGCGUAGAUAUCGGGAAGAACACCAGUGGCGAAAGCGCUCUGCUGGGCCAUUACUGACGCUCAUGGACGAAAGCCAGGGGAGCGAAAGGGAUUAGAUACCCCUGUAGUCCUGGCCGUAAACGAUGAACACUAGAUGUUGGGGGAAUCGACCCCCUCGGUGUCGUAGCUAACGCGUUAAGUGUUCCGCCUGGGGAGUACGCACGCAAGUGUAAAACUCAAAGGAAUUGACGGGGGCCCGCACAAGCGGUGGAGUAUGUGGUUUAAUUCGAUGCAACGCGAAGAACCUUACCAAGGCUUGACAUCCUGCGAAUCUCUAAGAAAUUAGAGAGUGCCUUCGGGAACGCAGUGACAGGUGGUGCAUGGCUGUCGUCAGCUCGUGUCGUGAGAUGUUGGGUUAAGUCCCGCAACGAGCGCAACCCACGUUUUUAGUUGCCAGCAUUCAGUUGGGCACUCUAGAAAGACUGCCGGUGACGAACCGGAGGAAGGUGUGGACGACGUCAAGUCAUCAUGCCCCUUACGCCUUGGGCUACACACGUACUACAAUGCUGCGGACAAAGAGUAGCGAUCUUGCGAAAGUUAGCUAAUCUCAUAAACCGUGGCUCAGUUCAGAUCGUAGGCUGCAACUCGCCUACGUGAAGGAGGAAUCGCUAGUAAUCGCAGGUCAGCAUACUGCGGUGAAUACGUUCCCGGGCCUUGUACACACCGCCCGUCACACCAUGGAAGUUGGCCAUGCCCGAAGUCGUUACUCUAACCUUUUGGAAGAGGGCGCCGAAGGCAGGGCUAAUGACUGGGGUGAAGUCGUAACAAGGUAGCCGUGGCGGAAGCUGCGGCUGGAUCACCUCCUAA
This 1141-nucleotide ribosomal RNA is filed under the name Candidatus Synechococcus spongiarum. RNAcentral's name for it is "bacterial SSU rRNA". It matches the Rfam family "Bacterial small subunit ribosomal RNA", at positions 376 to 1533 of the family's 1533-position model. The record is from RNAcentral. Lineage: Bacteria; Bacillati; Cyanobacteriota; Cyanophyceae; Synechococcales; Synechococcaceae.